CUCCAUGUCUUGGUAGUGUGGCCUAAUGUAGUAGAUGUCCUGUGGCAUCCAGUGGCACAGCCUCCCUAUCACCCAAGGUGGAUACUGAAGGUAUGCUCUUUGUGUGGGGCUGAGUACACCUUCCUUGUGUAGUUAAGUUUUAGUUGCCCUUG
Molecule: long non-coding RNA, 152 nt
Organism: Phyllostomus discolor (pale spear-nosed bat)
Lineage: Eukaryota; Metazoa; Chordata; Mammalia; Chiroptera; Phyllostomidae
Exons: 5
Source: RefSeq, a predicted model, not a curated record